GUUGUUGGGUAGGGGAGCGUUCUGUAAGCCUGCGAAGGUGACCUGUGAGGGUUGCUGGAGGUAUCAGAAGUGCGAAUGCUGACAUAAGUAACGAUAAAGCGGGUGAAAAGCCCGCUCGCCGGAAGACCAAGGGUUCCUGUCCAACGUUAAUCGGGGCAGGGUGAGUCGACCCCUAAGGCGAGGCCGAAAGGCGUAGUCGAUGGGAAACAGGUUAAUAUUCCUGUACUUGGUGUUACUGCGAAGGGGGGACGGAGAAGGCUAUGUUAGCCGGGCGACGGUUGUCCCGGUUUAAGCAUGUAGGCUGGUUGUCCAGGCAAAUCCGGAUAAUCAAGGCUGAGGUGUGAUGACGAGGCACUACGGUGCUGAAGUAACAAAUGCCCUGCUUCCAGGAAAAGCCUCUAAGCAUCAGGUAACAU
Molecule: ribosomal RNA, 416 nt
Filed under: Klebsiella pneumoniae
Lineage: Bacteria; Pseudomonadati; Pseudomonadota; Gammaproteobacteria; Enterobacterales; Enterobacteriaceae
Description: partial 23S ribosomal RNA
Rfam family: Bacterial large subunit ribosomal RNA
Source: RNAcentral